UUAAACUAGGGUUAGAUACCCUAUUAUUUAAAAUGUAAAUUUUUAUACUUAAUUAGUAAAAGUUAAAUUCUGGAAAUUUAAAAGUUUUGGCGGUAUUUCAAUCUUUUCAGAGGAACCUGUUCUAUAAUCGAUAGUCCACGAUAAAUUAAACUUUUUUUAUUAAUUUGUAUAUCGUUGUUUAAAAAAUUUUAUUAGAAUUUUAAUUUUUAGAAUUUAUUAUUUUUAAAUAAAUCAGAUCAAGACAUAGUUUAUAAAUAAGUAGAAAUGGGUUACAAUAAAUUUAUUUAAGUGAAUUUAAAAAUUAAUUUUUUAUUGAAAAUGGAUUUGAAGGUAAUUUUUUUUAUAUUUAAAGAUGUGAUUUAAGUUUUGAAAUAUGCACAUAUCGCCCGUCGCUCUUUUUAUAAAAAAAGAUAAGUCGUAACAUAGUAGAUGUACUGGAAAGUGUAUCUAGAAAGCAGAUUAGAGCUUGAUAAUUAAGCAUUUUAUUUACAUUAAAAAGUUGUUGUGAAAUUCAAUAUAAUGAUUAAUAAAAAAAUUAUUUUUAUUUAUGUUAAUUUAUUUUAUAUUUAUUAAAAAAUUUUAAUUUGAAUGUUUUAUUAUUUUUAUUAGAAAAAAUUUUGUUAAUUAUAGUUUAUUUAUAUUGAAAAAGAUUUUAAAAAUUAUUAAUUUUUUUAAAGUAAAAUUUUAUUUUUGUACCUUGUGUAUCAGGGUUAAUUAAAUUAAUCUUAUUUAUUUAAUUUUCUCGAAACAAAAAGAUUUAAUUAAAUAUAAUUUUUAUUGUAGAAUAAAUAUUAUAAAUAUUUAAUUUGAAAUGAAAAGUUUUUCGGUUUUUGUAUAUCUAGUUUUUUUAGAAAUAAAUUUAAUUUAUUUAUUUAAAAUUAAAUGUUUAAUUUUUUAAGUUUUUGAUGUAAAUAAUUAAUAUUUCAAGGGAUUAGCUUUGAAUUAAAUUUUUAAAAUUUGUUUUAUUGUAUUAAAUUUAUAAGUUUAGAAUUAUUUAUUAUUAAAAGAAUGUUAUAAUUUAUUUAAUUAAAAGUAAGAUUUAUUGUUUUUUAAGAUAUUUAUAAAAAUAAAUUUUAAAAUUUUUUAGAAAUUUUAAUAAUGAUUAAAUUAGUAUAAAAUUAUAGUUAUUAAUAUUUUAGAUUUUUAGUUAAAAAUUAGGAAUUCGGCAAUUUAUUUUUUCGAAUGUUUAUCAAAAACAUUUCUUUUAGAUAAUAAUUUAAAGUUUAACCUGCUCAAUGAUAAUUUAAAUAGCUGCGGUAUAUUAACCGUACAAAGGUAGCAUAAUCAUUAGUUUUUUAAUUGAAAGCUAGAAUGAAUGGUUCAACGAAAAAAAUACUGUCUUAUUUUUAUAAUUAGAAUUUAAUUUUUAAGUUAAAAAGCUUAAAUUUUUUUAAAAGACGAGAAGACCCUAUAGAUCUUUAUAAUUUAAUUUUAUAUAUAAUUUAGAAAAAUUUAUUUUUUAUUAUUUAAAUUAUUUUAUUGGGGUGAUAUAAAGAUUUAAUAAACUCUUUAAUUUUAAAUUAAUAAUUUUUAUAUUUUUGAUCCAAAAUUUUUGAUUAUAAGAAUAAGUUACCUUAGGGAUAACAGCGUAAUUUUUUUAGAGAGUUCUUAUCGAUAAAAAAGAUUGCGACCUCGAUGUUGGAUUAAGAAUUGAUUUUGGUGCAAAAGUUAAAUUUCAAGGUCUGUUCGACCUUUAAAUUCUUACAUGAUCUGAGUUAAAACCCGGAGA
Molecule: ribosomal RNA, 1729 nt
Filed under: Contacyphon sp. NLG-2014
Lineage: Eukaryota; Metazoa; Arthropoda; Insecta; Coleoptera; Scirtidae
Description: partial 16S ribosomal RNA
Source: RNAcentral